AGGCGGGUAAGUUAAAUAAAACUUUGGGGUUCAUGUCCCCACUAUAUACUUUAAAGUAUCCUGCCAA
This 67-nucleotide transfer RNA is filed under the name Gangesia oligonchis. Its description in RNAcentral is "tRNA-Met". The record is from RNAcentral. Lineage: Eukaryota; Metazoa; Platyhelminthes; Cestoda; Proteocephalidea; Proteocephalidae.